Molecule: ribosomal RNA, 99 nt
Filed under: Triticum aestivum (bread wheat)
Lineage: Eukaryota; Viridiplantae; Streptophyta; Magnoliopsida; Poales; Poaceae
Description: partial small subunit ribosomal RNA
Source: RNAcentral
AACGUCUCUAAUUCAAAACCGAACAUGACAUUUUGAUUUCAUUUGGCUCCUUUAUGGAUAUUGUCACCACUUAACAUCUAUGUCAGCUUUUCUAUUUGA